CCCUUAGAUGUUCUGGGCCGCACGCGUGCUACACUGAGUGGAUCAGCGGGUCAGGUUGCGCGAAAGUGUUUCCUAAUCUUGAAAUCCGCUCGUGAUGGGGAUUGACGGUUGCAAUUUUCUGUCAUGAACGAGGAAUACCUUGUAAGCGCGGGUCAUCAUCCCGCGCUGGAUACGUCCCUGCCCUUUGUACACACCGCCCGUCGCUCCUACCGAUUGAGUGGUCCGGUGAGGCUUUGGGAUCUGGAUGGAAAGAGCGUUUCGCUGUUUCUGCCCGGAAAACUCAGUCGAACCUUAUCAUUUAGAGGAAGGAGAAGUCGUAACA
RNAcentral lists this ribosomal RNA (322 nucleotides) under uncultured eukaryote. RNAcentral describes it as "partial 18S ribosomal RNA". It matches the Rfam family "Eukaryotic small subunit ribosomal RNA", at positions 1470 to 1796 of the family's 1831-position model. The record is from RNAcentral.